AGGGGGAAGCCGGUGCGAACCCGGCACUGGACCCCAGCCGUGAACCGUCCGCCCGACGGCAGCCGGAACGCCC
RNAcentral lists this non-coding RNA (73 nucleotides) under Kitasatospora albolonga. Lineage: Bacteria; Bacillati; Actinomycetota; Actinomycetes; Kitasatosporales; Streptomycetaceae. The record is from RNAcentral.